RNAcentral lists this ribosomal RNA (273 nucleotides) under uncultured bacterium. RNAcentral's name for it is "partial 16S ribosomal RNA". It matches the Rfam family "Bacterial small subunit ribosomal RNA", at positions 524 to 796 of the family's 1533-position model. The record is from RNAcentral.
UACGUAGGCAGCAAGCGUUGUUCGGAAUUACUGGGCGUAAAGCGAGUGUAGGCGGCCUGCCAAGUCUGUUGUGAAAUCUCCCGGCUUAACUGGGAGGGUGCGGCGGAAACUGGUGGGCUAGAGUACGAGAGGGGAGAGUGGAAUUCCUGGUGUAGCGGUGAAAUGCGUAGAUAUCAGGAGGAACACCGGUGGUGAAGACGGCUCUCUGGAUCGUGACUGACGCUGAGACUCGAAAGCGUGGGGAGCAAACAGGAUUAGAAACCCCCGUAGUCC